UAUCUCACAAGUGUCUGCCUUAUCAACUUUCGAUGGUAGUUUAUGUGCCUACCAUGGUUGUAACGGGUAACGGAGAAUAAGGGUUCGACUCCGGAGAGGGAGCCUGAGAAACGGCUACCACAUCCAAGGAAGGCAGCAGGCGCGCAAAUUACCCACUCUCGGCAUGAGGAGGUAGUGACGAAAAAUAACGAGACCGUUCUCUUUGAGGCCGGUUAUCGGAAUGGGUACAAUUUAAACCUGUUAACGAGGAUCUAUGAGAGGGCAAGUCUGGUGCCAGCAGCCGCGGUAAUUCCAGCUCUCAAAGUGUAUAUCGUCAUUGCUGCGGUUAAAAAGCUCGUAGUUGGAUCUGCGUCUUAGGACUUGGUCCAUCCGAUUGGAUGUGAACUAAGAACCUAGACUAAUAUUUAGCUAGUUUUACUGUAUGUUACCUUAAUUGGUUGCAUAUAGUGGCUGGCAUGUUUACCUUGAAAAAAUUAGAGUGCUUAACGCGGGCUUAUAAUGCUUGAAUACUCGUGCAUGGAAUAAUGAAAUAGGAUCUUGAUUGUUGUAUGCCUAUUUUGUUGGUAUAAAACAUAAAUACAAUUGAGAUAAUGGUUAAGAGGGACGGACGGGGGCAUUCGUAUCGCUGCGUGAGAGGUGAAAUUCUUGGACCGUAGCGAGACGCCCAACUGCGAAAGCAUUUGCCAAGAAUGUCUUCAUUAAUCAAGAACGAAAGUCAGAGGUUCGAAGGCGAUCAGAUACCGCCCUAGUUCUGACCGUAAACGAUACCAACUAGCGUUCCGUUGGCGGUAAAUACGCCUUGACGGGCAGCUUCCCGGAAACGAAAGUUUUUCGGUUCCGGGGGAAGUAUGGUUGCAAAGCUGAAACUUAAAGAAAUUGACGGAAGGGCACCACCAGGAGUGGAGCCUGCGGCUUAAUUUGACUCAACACGGGAAAACUCACCUGGCCCGGACACCGUGAGGAUUGACAGAUUGAAAGCUCUUUCAUGAUUCGGUGGUUGGUGGUGCAUGGCCGUUCUUAGUUGGUGGAGUGAUUUGUCUGGUUUAUUCCGAUAACGAGCGAGACUCUAGCCUACUAAAUAGUUUAUGCUGGAUAAAUGUAUUCGUACGCUAGUCCAGACAACUUCUUAGAGGGACAAGCGGUGUUUAGCCGCAUGAAGUUGAGCAAUAACAGGUCUGUGAUGCCCUUAGAUGUCCAGGGC
This 1201-nucleotide ribosomal RNA is filed under the name Thelazia callipaeda (thelaziosis nematode). RNAcentral's name for it is "SSU rRNA". It matches the Rfam family "Eukaryotic small subunit ribosomal RNA", at positions 293 to 1487 of the family's 1831-position model. The record is from RNAcentral. Lineage: Eukaryota; Metazoa; Nematoda; Chromadorea; Rhabditida; Thelaziidae.